RNAcentral lists this ribosomal RNA (423 nucleotides) under uncultured bacterium. RNAcentral's name for it is "partial 16S ribosomal RNA". It matches the Rfam family "Bacterial small subunit ribosomal RNA", at positions 359 to 774 of the family's 1533-position model. The record is from RNAcentral.
GAAUUUUGGACAAUGGGGGCAACCCUGAUCCAGCCAUCCCGCGUGUGCGAUGAAGGCCUUCGGGUUGUAAAGCACUUUUGGCAGGGAAGAAAAGGCCCUGGCUCAUACCUGGAGCUGCUUACGGUACCUGCAGAAUAAGCACCGGCUAACUACGUUCCACCAGCCGCGGUAAUACGUAGGGUGCAAGCGUUAAUCGGAAUUACUGGGCGUAAAGCGUGCGCAGGCGGUUUGGCAAGAAGGAUGUGAAAUCCCAGGGCUUAACCUUGGAACUGCAUUCUGAACUGCCAGGCUAGAGUAUGUCAGAGGGGGGUAGAAUUCCACGUGUAGCAGUGAAAUGCGUAGAGAUGUGGAGGAAUACCGAUGGCGAAGGCGGCCCCCUGGGAUAAUACUGACGCUCAUGCACGAAAGCGUGGGGAGCAAACA